UACGGAGGAUGCGAGCGUUAUCCGGAUUCAUUGGGUUUAAAGGGUGCUUAGGCGGACUAAUAAGUCAGUGGUGAAAUUUUGCAGCUUAACUGUAAACGUGCCGUUGAUACUGUUAGUCUUGAGUAUGGUCAAGGUAGGCGGAAUGUGUAAUGUAGCGGUGAAAUUCUUAGAUAUUACACAGAACACCGAUUGCGAAGGCAGCUUACUGGGCCACCACUGACGAUGAUGCACGAAAGCGUGGGGAGCGAACAGG
RNAcentral lists this ribosomal RNA (253 nucleotides) under uncultured bacterium. RNAcentral's name for it is "partial 16S ribosomal RNA". It matches the Rfam family "Bacterial small subunit ribosomal RNA", at positions 524 to 776 of the family's 1533-position model. The record is from RNAcentral.